CAUGGCAGCGCGCAGAGCAGCUGUAGAGCAGCGGCGUGUUCGUGUGGUGGACGUUUUUUUUUUUCUGUUACACCGCAGCCGUCGCCGCUGCAUAGCGUAAUGGACGGUGCAGCAAAGUCCGGAGGUUACAGAAUUCAUUUGAAGAGCACACGAUGCUUACAUUUUGGCAGAAUAGCGAGCGGUAAGGCGGAUGCAACCGGGAUGCAGCGUUGAUCCAGGGGAAUCGAAAUUGUUUCGGCGUCGGCAUGUUUUCUUAAAGCAUUGCAGAGAUGAUCUGAAGUGUUUUAGCACGAAUGCUCAGCUUCAACAGCAGCAUCUUUCAACUGAGUGCUGGCAUUGAGUGCUUCACUUCAGAUGAAAAACUAAACCCACAUCCCAGGGUCAGUGGCUUUCCCAGGAACGCCUAGGACGUAGGAAUGCAUACUUGUCAUCCUUCACGCUCACACAGCAUGGCUCCCAGAAAUGGAAAGUUCACAAAGCUGCUGAAGGGCCCUUUAAUGAAGAUUACAAACACUACAAUAUGGAAGAGGAAAGUAGCACUAUCAAAGCCAGCUGUUGCACAGCUACAGCACAGCGAGAACAUCACCAUCACCGACGUGCAAGCUGAGCUUUUGGAUGGAAGCGUAGAGCACCCGAGAAACUGAUUGGCCAGCUUUUCAAGCCGCUUGGGUAACCAAGAAGGCAUCAAUGAUCUGUGAAUGAGGAAUGGAUAGUGCAAUACUGCCUGGUUAUAAUAUAGCAAUAUGUUGGCAGUGUUGCUGAAGUGAAUCUCAUAAUCCGGUAUUUAUUGCAAAGGCCACUCUU
Rhipicephalus sanguineus (brown dog tick) is the source of this 804-nucleotide long non-coding RNA. RefSeq lists it as uncharacterized. The record is from RefSeq and is a predicted model, not a curated record. NCBI's taxonomy places the organism in Eukaryota, Metazoa, Arthropoda, Arachnida, Ixodida, Ixodidae. The transcript has 6 exons.